Molecule: long non-coding RNA, 1698 nt
Filed under: Homo sapiens (human)
Lineage: Eukaryota; Metazoa; Chordata; Mammalia; Primates; Hominidae
Description: HSALNT0320712
Source: RNAcentral
GAAGUACAUUCACAUUGUUGUGCCACCAUUGUCUAUCCACAGAACUCUUUGCAUCUUGCAAAAUUGAAACUCCAUAGCCUUAAACCAUACACACACACAAACACACACACACACAUCUUUUUCGAACCAUUGAUAGUUAAUUACCUGAUGAUUUCCCCCUAGAUACUUCAGUGUAUAUUUUCUAUUUUAUUUUAUUUUAUAUUUUUUCAGACAAGGUCUUGCUCUGUUGCCCAGCCUGGAGUGCAGUGGUAUGACCAUAGCUCACUGCAGCCUCAAACUCCUGGGCUUAUGUGAUCCUCCAGCCUCAGCUUUGCCUAAGCUGAUCUUAAACUCCUGGCCUCAAGUGAUCCUCCCACCUUGGCCUCAUGAAGUGCUGGGAUUACAGGGGCACAUCUUGUAUCCCUCUUGCCUCAACUCUGGAAUUGGUUACCACUACUUCUGAACUGGGUGGCAGCUACAGACAGAGGUGGUAAGGGAGUAAUUGCUUAGGAUUGGACUGAGCUGAAGAAUGUUUAGCCUGGCGGUACUAGUGCAACUGGAAGAACAGAUGAACCAUAGUUUGCAACACAAAGCCAAGUCAACCAACAGAAGAAAUAUAUAUUUUAAGAAGAUUUUAUAUUUUCAACUGAAAACGUUCAUGUCAGUUGUGAAUGUAUUUGUAAUUGGCAGCCCCAAAUCAUCUCCCUUUUUAUUUUUGAGAAAGUGUAGUGUGCUUUAGUAUUUGGAACAUUCAUUUAAACCUAUUAAAUUAUAUUUUAAAAUGCACUGUUCCCAUUUCAAUCAAAAUUGGUUUUAUACUAUAUAUUGUAACACUAAAGUGCUUCUGGUAAUUUGCUUGUAAAACCAAAACUCUUUUAAAUUUAUCCACUUGUCCCUUUCAGAAAUGACGUGUUUGUGCAUAGGACUUGUUAGUAUUCUGAUUCAAACAAAACUACAGUACAUGUAAAAACAUAUUUAUAGAACAUAAAUAAGAAAAUGUGAACCCUGAAGAAUAUUUGAUGGAACUAAUGGACUAUUCUAAUUUUUAUGUGUGAAAAUGAUAAUGUGAUUUUUUAAAAGAGUCCUUCUUUUUUAGACAUGCACACUGAAAUAAUUAUAGAUGAAAUUAUGCAAUGUCUGUGAUUUGUUUCAAAAUAGUCUGGUGCUUAGGGAGAGAGAAGUGGGUGGGGAGAGAGAUGAAAUAAGCUUAGUUAUGAGUUGGUAAUUGUUGAAGCUGGGUCCUAUAUAUAUAUGGGGGUAAGGUCAUAUUCUAUUCUACUUUUGCAUAGAUUUGAAAUUUUUCAUAAUAAAAAGUUAAAAACAAAUCACACACCAAAAAAACUCCCAAACCCAACUGUCAUUAUUUAAUAACUUUGAACUUGGUAUGGACCUAAGAAGGCAUCUUUUACAAGGGAAAUGUGCAGUUCCAAGUCUUUUUCUUGAUGAUUGGGUCUGAAUGUGUUAAUCAAUGCUGCCCUGUCAUAGCCCCGACAUAGGGAAAAUGCUGAAAUGUGAUUUUUAAAUCAUAAAAAUGUGCCCAUAGUAAUAGCUCCAUCUUUUGCACAAUAUUUAAAUCAAUUCAUUGAUUUCCAGUUGCCUGAUAUUCUUAUUUCAGUAACAAAAUAAACGAUACAUAGUUCAGUAAAGUUGAAUCCAUUUGGGUUCAUUUGUGCUCGAAGUCUGAAGCCAAGUAAGAUCUGCUUCUUAGCUGCAUGUCAG